AGGGAAUAUUGGACAAUGGGGGCAACCCUGAUCCAGCCAUGCCGCGUGAGUGAAGAAGGCCCUCGGGUUGUAAAGCUCUUUUGUCCGGAAAGAAAAGCUUCGGGUUAAUACCCCGGGGUUCUGACGGUACCGGAAGAAUAAGCACCGGCUAACUUCGUGCCAGCAGCCGCGGUAAUACGAAGGGUGCAAGCGUUACUCGGAAUUACUGGGCGUAAAGCGUGCGGAGGUGGUUGUUUAAGUCUGAUGUGAAAGCCCUGGGCUCAACCGGGGAAUUGCAUUGGAAACUGGGCAGCUAGAGUGCGGUAGAGGGUAGUGGAAUUCCCGGUGUAGCAGUGAAAUGCGUAGAGAUCGGGAGGAACAUCUGUGGCGAAGGCGACUGCCUGGACCAGCACUGACACUGAGGCACGAAAGCGUGGGGAGCAAACA
This 426-nucleotide ribosomal RNA is filed under the name uncultured bacterium. RNAcentral describes it as "bacterial SSU rRNA". It matches the Rfam family "Bacterial small subunit ribosomal RNA", at positions 356 to 774 of the family's 1533-position model. The record is from RNAcentral.